Ameiurus melas (black bullhead) is the source of this 72-nucleotide non-coding RNA. The record is from the annotation of a GenBank genome assembly. NCBI's taxonomy places the organism in Eukaryota, Metazoa, Chordata, Actinopteri, Siluriformes, Ictaluridae.
GGCUGGGGGCUUAGCGGUUAGCACGUUUGCCUCACGCCUCCAAGGUUGGGGGUUCGAUUCCCGCCUCCGCCC